Molecule: long non-coding RNA, 2096 nt
Filed under: Phaseolus vulgaris (common bean)
Lineage: Eukaryota; Viridiplantae; Streptophyta; Magnoliopsida; Fabales; Fabaceae
Description: long non-coding RNA (PVUL_LNC004223)
Source: RNAcentral
UAAAGUAUGUGUAAAUAAAAUAAGAAAAAUGUAAAACUAAAUGAAAUAAAAGAAAAUGUAAGUAUAAAAAAAAUGUAAAGUUGAGAUUAAUUGAUUCUAUUAAGUCACACUCGGCCUAAGAUUUCAUUAUGAUGUCUAACAUGAUAAAAAUGAAGUCAUAUAUGAUUAAUGUGUGAGUAGAUAUGUUUGGAAACCUGAUUUAUUCCUUUGGUCGUAGAUUGAAAAAGUUGAGCAUAUUAUAGAUGGAAUGUGUUGUGAAUGCAAUAACUAGUAAUGGAAGGUUGGGUUAUGGUCCCCUCUUCCUUUUCUCUAAAAGAGAUAAACUACAAAUGAGGAUUGAUGUAGAUGCAUGCUCUCUUCCUCGCUAAGUAUUAAUCAUCUUUCGUUUUUUCUAAUGUCCAUUGUUUUAGCUCUAUCCAUUGUUUUAUCUUUAACUUUCAGCAUCUGUAACAUCUUUUUGUUCAUUUCUGUAGGGACAGGAUACGUUGCAAUUGAUUUAUUACCUACACUUUCCUCCCUAAUUAUCACUUUCUUAACCCAUCAAAUUAUCAAACCCCUGCUUAUUUCUAACUCAUUGCUAUACCAUAUUCAUGUGCAAGAUAUUUUUUAAAACAUUGUUAUAAAAUAUACUUCCAAUUAUUUUAUUUUUAUAUAUAUUAUUGAUAAAUUUAAUGUUAAUAAUUAAAUUAUUCGUUUUUAAAAUAAUAUUGAUUUCAUUGAAGAAGGAAGUAAAUGAAAACCAAUUAAAUUAAAUUGUUUGAGAACAAAUUCGACGUAAUAAUUAGAGUGUUAUCAAAUAGCUAUGCUGAAAACUAGUAAAAGUUUGAGAAAGGUAUAUUUGACUUACCAUGUUUUAAAUUAUAGUAUGCCAAUUGGGUGAAAGCGAUAGAGAGAAAAUUCAAGUGCAGUAUAAGAUCGUACUCAAAUAUAAAAAUUAAUUUAUUCAUAGCGAAUUUGUUUGGCUUAACAAUGAUUGUAAAUUAAAUAAAACAUAAAUUAAAAAAGAAAUAGAUUAAAAGAUUUGACAUUGAAAAGGAUUGAACAAAAAUUGAAGAUGAUGAAAUUAAUAAAAUUUUUUAUUAACAAGAAAAAAUAAAUAAAUAUGAAUACAACCUUUAUACAAAAUAGAAAAAUAAAAAAGAGUUAAAGUCACACACCCCUAUCUAAUUCAAACACCCAACAACAAAAACAACCUACUAUGCAUAAAUACCCAUUUAUUGUUAAUCUUUUUCCUCUUGUAAUUCUACCAACAGAUUGCCUGAGUUUUAGCCGCUACUCUUCCUUAGGUCCUCUUUAGUUUACAUAUUACCUCCUAAAGCAAAAGCUUACACAGGAGACAUGUUGUUUUACCUCCCUGACUUACAAAAUACGCAAUUUCUUCCUCUUUAAAGCAAGGGGUUAGUUAUUCAAAACUAUUAAACCUGAAGCACUACUUCUUAACAUAUUUGAUGCAUACUAAUGGUUUCAUGCACCAUUCAAAAUAAGUGAACUCUGCAGAUUUUUCUUUACAUGUAAUUCAUGCCCAUGUUUUUCUUUCUACCACUGCAAAGACCUCUAUAUAAUCAACUCUCUUGUUCUUAAAAACACUCAUAUUCCUAUGUUUUCAAAUUUCACCUACAAAUGCAAUUCACACCCCUUCCCAAACUCAGGACAACGAACCUUUCACAUUAGAAGGGCAAAAUAUCAAGAAGUGUACCUUAACAUCAUAGUGAUUCACCGACAAAGAACUUAGCCAAGACAAACACAAACCCCAAAUUAUCAAGGUAACCUUACACUUAAAAAAGAGAUGGUUAAUAGUCUCUUCUCCCCCAACACCCUCCAAGCUAUAACUUGUGUAGAUGAGAGAGACUUAUGAAUAUUUUUAGGAUGAUAUGGGUUUAUACAAUACUAAACAAAUGAAUAUGACGUACCUUUCGCACUUCACUUAAAAAAAUAAUAUCUGGAUUCUUCAAAGCUUGAAGAAGAUGAAUGAAAGAGAGAAAAAUAUACAAAGAAUUAUGGAAGAGAAGAGAGAAGAGAAUCGUGUGUAUGAAAAUCACAAUAUAGCAUGAUAUCAUUAAUUUGAUGCAAAAAGAAUUAUCCCAAUAAUUUUGUAU